RNAcentral lists this ribosomal RNA (253 nucleotides) under uncultured bacterium. RNAcentral describes it as "partial 16S ribosomal RNA". It matches the Rfam family "Bacterial small subunit ribosomal RNA", at positions 524 to 776 of the family's 1533-position model. The record is from RNAcentral.
UACGUAGGGGGCUAGCGUUGUCCGGAAUCAUUGGGCGUAAAGGGCGCGUAGGCGGUUCGUUAAGUCCUGUGUGAAAUCCCCCGGCUCAACUGGGGAACUGCACAGGAAACUAGCGGGCUUGAGUUCGGGAGAGGGAAGCGGAAUUCCGGGUGUAGCGGUGAAAUGCGUAGAUAUCCGGAGGAACACCGGUGGCGAAGGCGGCUUCCUGGACCGACACUGACGCUGAGGCGCGAAAGCUAGGGGAGCAAACGGG